CCCAUCAAACAUGCAUAUGCUAAUGCUGUUGACAGUAAGAAGACAUCUGAUUGCUGACAUUAAUCAUUAACCCAACCCAAAGGGCAGCUUUACAUUGCCAAUGAUAUUUCAAAUCUCCCAGAGGAUAGCGCGUUCAAAUGGCUGGGGUGGUUCGAAUCCCCCCCAGAUCCCUAGUUCUGGCAGUGGAAAUGAAGAAGGCAGUAGACUGGUGUUUCAGAACAAAAGAACCUCUGCACUUAUUAAGCACAAAAAAAGAAUUUGGGGAUUUUUGUUCAAUAAUCCCUGAUGAUCCUUAUGAGCAAAGACUAAACAGAUUGGGACGCUACUCACUGGACUUUAGA
Molecule: non-coding RNA, 341 nt
Organism: Chiloscyllium plagiosum (whitespotted bambooshark)
Lineage: Eukaryota; Metazoa; Chordata; Chondrichthyes; Orectolobiformes; Hemiscylliidae
Source: RefSeq, a predicted model, not a curated record